This 459-nucleotide ribosomal RNA is filed under the name uncultured bacterium. Its description in RNAcentral is "partial 16S ribosomal RNA". It matches the Rfam family "Bacterial small subunit ribosomal RNA", at positions 339 to 795 of the family's 1533-position model. The record is from RNAcentral.
CUACGGGGCGCAGCAGUAAGGAAUAUUGGGCAAUGGACGCAAGUCUGACCCAGCCAUGCCGCGUGCAGGAUGACAGCCCUACGGGUUGUAAACUGCUUUUAUAUGGGAAAAAUUCUUCCGACGUGUCGGAAGUCGAUGGUACCAUAUGAAUAAGCACCGGCUAACUCCGUGCCAGCAGCCGCGGUAAUACGGAGGGUGCAAGCGUUAUCCGGAUUUAUUGGGUUUAAAGGGUGCGCAGGCGGAAUGAUAAGUCAGUGGUGAAAUCCUACGGCUCAACUGUAGAACUGCCAUUGAUACUGUUGUUCUUGAGUACAGUUGUAGUGGGCGGAAUAUGUCAUGUAGCGGUGAAAUGCAUAGAUAUGACAUAGAACACCGAUCGCGAAGGCAGCUCACUAAGCUGAAACCGACGCUGAGGCACGAAAGCGUGGGGAGCAAACAGGAUUAGAUACCCGGGUAGUC